ACCUCCUCAGCAGGGACUCUCCGCCCAGCCAGUCUGGAAUGGCCUCGUCCUGCCUCCCCCACCUUGAAGCCUCUGCUUUUCUCUUCCAGCAUCUGCGCUGCCUGAUUUGCUGAGCACCUACUAUGCAUCAGACGCUGUGUUCUAGGCAAGGGGGAUACACCUGAUGGAAGAAGGUCCUUCCCUAGACGUAGCUAACAUCCCAGUGUGGGAGAUGACACGAAACAGCAAACUCCCCACAACAGCCUCCUCAACGCUGCCUCCCACAGUGCUUGGACAAAAUAAUUACAGCAAGAUGCGGGCACUGAGCUGACUCCUUAUGUAGGACAUCCCAGUGCAGGUAGAGAAACUGAGGGACAGUUGGAGGUUCCUUGCCCUUGGUGAUGCGGUGAGAGGGCCUGCAGGCACCAGCCCGGCCGCCCGCACCGCUUCUCGCGGACCCCAGCGGAGCCGCGCUUCUCGUGCCGCUCCUGAGGGUUUCCGCGGCGCCGGCGUUUUUGUUCCCGGCGCGUUUAAGUCGUUGAGGCCGAAUCAAGCGAAGGCGGAAAAGCGGCGCGCAGCCCGCGUCAGCUGCAGUUCCGUCCCCCUGGUUCCCGGUGCGCUAACAAAGGCAUUUGCAUGAAAACAGGAACCCCGUCUGCAGAAAGGACUCGUUGGCGGGGUGCAUCGUGCGCUCCAGUGCCCCUACCGCGGCGCCCCGCUCCCCAGGUGGGGAAGAAGCGGGGUGCGGGGACUGGCCCCAAACACGGCUCGGCCGGCGGGGACCGGCACGCUGCGGCCCGGGCGACCCCCUUCUCCGCCCCUUUCCCAGGCCGGCGGAAACGGCCGUCUCGGGCGUGGGCGCGCUUCUGCGGACUCCUCGGGACCUUUUACCCAGGCGUGCGGCCGGGGCGCCCGGGGCCUCGGGGAGCCGGCGCCAGCGUGCGGAGCGCAGCGGAGCGGAGGGAGCGGCGGGAGCGGCGUCCGUGGCUGGUCCAGGUCUGGGGCGCAGCCUCCAGGCUCGCCCUGCGCCGCUCUGGGCCUCGGCCUCUUCGCCUGUUCGACCGGGGCGCAAGCGUGUCACAGCGCCUGUCUGCAGGGGGAAGCGGGCUUCCCAGAGGGGCGCGUGGCUCGCAGAGGGGCUCCGGGAAUAUCCGCUCCGUUGGCCCUUUCCAGAGCUUUUCCUUAGCUGCUUCUCCUUUGAAAUCCGCCUUUUUCCCAGCAGCCCUUGGAGGCAGGAUAAAUUAAGUGGUAAAAGCAGAGGAUUAGGAACCGGGAACCCUGGAUUCAAAUCCUGCCCGCCGCUGACCAGCUUUGUAACCAUGAGCAGGUUACUCCGCCUCUGGAGGCCUCAGCUUCCCCGUCUGUAAAAUGGGGCCUAACACAGUCCAGAAAGUGCUUAGUGCCGCAGUGUCACACACCGAGUGCUUAAUUCAUUCUUAAAAUUAUCACUUCCAGCUGUGGGACAGGCGCAGGGUAGAAAGGGGUUUUCUUAAGGUCACAGGCGGGGUCAAAGGCAAACCCUCCGGGUCCUCACAAGUAAGACUUGCGAAGCAGCAAGUUCCCCAAAGGGUCUUAUCCAGCCGGGUAAGGAGCGCCGGGGCAUCUCCCCCCUCUCUCUCCGCGAAGACGCACAAGCAAUGGCUGGCGAACCUACUGCCUGGAAUGGGGUUCUUGGGUCGAGACCUUUAAAAAAAUAAAGAAGAGGAAGAAGAAAGAAAGAAAACAAACAAACAUGCACGCAAAAACGGAAUGCCAGAGCCUUUGAUCUAGGAGCCAGCUUGCUAUUCAGGGCCGACCACCGUCUCGCCGCAGUUCCUCCCCGGGAAGGAAGCCUCGCGCUGCCCUCCGGUGGCAGGCGAGGUAGUGUCGCCUGGGCGCAACUCACAAGCAGGGGUUUACCGGAGAAGCCAGCUUCGCUCUGCGCGGGUGGGGGCUGUGGGGGAGAGAGGAGGGAAAAUCGGAAUUGUUCCCUGACUGCUGUUUUUUGGUCCCGGUGGAUCUUGGGAGUCUUGGAAAGAGAAUAAUAAGGCUCUCUGCAUUUGAAAGGCAUAGGAGUUUUUACAUUCUGGUUUUAUUUAUUUUUGAAUGGAUAACACAUUUACACGAUUCAAAAGAUAAAAAAGAGGAUAGCGUGAAAAGGAAGUCUCGCUUCCACUCUUGUUCCCCAGGCACCCAGUUCCCCUUCCUAGAGACAGCCAUUGUUACAUGUUUCUGUGUACCCACCCGGAGACAGUCCAUGCAAAUGCAAGUAUUUUACAGGAUCAAUAGUAGCUUGCUCUGUAUACUCUUCUGCCUCUUGCUGCUUCGCUUAAAAAUGCAUCAUGGAGUUUGUUCCAUGUUGAUUCACAUAGGGCUGCCUCGUUCUUUUGAACAGCUGCAUAAUAUUCCAUUGUUUGGCUCUCCUGUAAUUAUUUGAUCAGUGUUCUAUUGAUGAGCCUUGAGGCUGCUUCUAAUCUUCUGUAAUCACAGUGUGUUACAACAAAUAAGCACCUACAUGCAUUGUUAUGCCUAGGUGCCAGUGAGGCACAUAGCUAUUGCGGUAUAACAAACCACUCCGAAAUUCAGUGGCUUUAAAUAGAAAGCUUUUGGUAUUGCUCAUGUGGGUCAGCUGGGUAGCACUGCUGAUCUGGGCCAAGCUCAGCUAACUUUGCAUUUGCUCCUUGUGUCUGGGAUCAGAAAGGGUGGGUCAGCUGGGGCUGGUUUAUUUAGGAUGGUCUAAAUCACAUGUCUGGUAGUUGACUGGCUAUCAGCUAGGGUUAGAGGGGUGUUCAGGCUAUGUGUCCGUCAACAUCUGAUAACAUGCAGUGCCUCCUGAGACUGUAUAACUGGUGUGAAUUUACAUCCAUUACAUUCUGUUGGUGCAAACAUGUCACAAGCCAGCCCAGAUUCAAGAGGUGGGGAAAUAGAAAUCACUUCUCCCAGGGAGGAGCAGCAAAGUCACACGGCAGAGUAUGAUGCAAGGGCCCUGAGGUAUUGUGGCCAUUUAAAAAUAUAUUUAUAAUGUUAUAGUUAGCAUUAUGGUGAUAACAUUACCUUUGGAUAUAAACAUUACCUUUGCCAUUACCUGACAGACGUUACCUCAAGCCUCAAGGCUCAUCAACAGAAGACUGAUCAAAUAAUUAACAACAAUAAUAAUUAACAACAACAAUAAUUUCAACAGAAGACUGAUCAAAUAAUUAACUAGGCCAUCAGGGUUGACAUUAAGUGAUAUUGAUAUUGAUAGCAUAUUCUCUUGAUAUAACUUUUUGAGAAUGACACUGUACCUCUGUGGUUUUCCUCCCCCAAACCAGUCUAAUAAUAACCCCAGUCUAAUAAUGAGAAUAGCCUCACAGAAUAGCCGCUAUGCACAGCCUCCACUUAAGGGAUGGGGAGUUAUGCUUCACUUCCUUGAGGGGGCAGUAUGUAAUAAGUUAUUUGGAAUUCUUCUGCUACUGGUUUAUUCAGUCAUUUAUUCUAUCCGUGUGCACUCAUGGAUAUUUAUUUUGUACUUUUCAUUAUAAUCCAAUACUAUGUUAUUUAUAUUGUUGCUUAAAUUGUUCCAGUUUUGGCGCCUGGGAGCUCUCUCUAUUGGCUCCUGUUUCCCUUUGCCAUAAUUUUUUGUUAUGUUUUUGAGCCCUUCCUUACUUUCUGGCACUAAAGCUGCUCCAGACUCAUCUUGCAUAUUUUCUUCCCAGCCCUAGAAUCAGCCGUUUCUCCAGGGAGCCCGGUUCCUUUCACUGGAGAAUGUUCUUAGAAACAGAUCUGGAUGGUGGGUUUGCAUGUUGCUAUUGGGGACCCACUACCAGGGGGCAGAGCUAGGAAAUACAUGUAUGUAUCCUAGCCCGUGUAUUCACAUAACUGUAAUGAUUCUGUAUCUAUCAUUGGUAUCUAUAUUAAGUUAAACAUGAGCUCAUGCUACCGUCUCUGACUCUAACACAUUCAUACAGUUCAUUCUAUCCUUCUCCCUUUGCUUAUCUAUAACCUCCCACUUCAGCAGUGAAAAACCUGGCUCCUACCAUCUGCCAUCCAUUUACUUAAUUGUUCAAUGUUAGUACACAUGUACUGGGGUUUCAGAAUUGUCAAACCAUACCCCUGUGAGACACAGCUCUACCAACUGGAGGGCAGUGCUUAUGGACAGCUCUUUUCAUCUUGAGUCUUCUUGUUUCCAGUCAUUUCCAAAGUUGUUUAGGUCAGCACCUCUAGUCUCCAUGCCCUUCAAUGAGAUCCCUCGUACGUUUGUAAUACAAUUAGAUUCUGUUGCCAUCAUCUGCAUUUUAUCCUGUGAUUCCCCAUCCUCCUAGUAGAUUUUUAAAAAUUGGCAUACAUUAAGGUUUACUUUUUUUUUUUUUUUUUUUGAGAUGUAGUUUCCCUCUUGUUGCAAGGUCGCGCAAUGGCGCAAUCUUGGCUCACCGGAACCUCCGCCUCCCGGGUUCAAGCGAUUCUCCUCCUCAGCCGCCCGAGUAGCUGGGAUUGCAGGCAUGCACCACCACACCCAGCUAAUUUUGUAUUUUUAGUAGAGAUGGGGUUUCUCCAUGUUGGUCAGGCUGCUCUCGAACUCCCGACCUCAGGUGAUCCACUUGCCUCGGCCUCCCAAAGUGCUGGGAUUACAGGUGUGAGCCACCGCGCCCGGCCAAGGUUUACUUUUUGUGCUGUAAAAUUCUAUGGUUUUGACAAAUGCAUAGUGACAAAUGGAUAGUGUAGGACCUCUUUAUAUGUUCUAGAUAUCAAGCCCUUAGCAGAUAUAUCAAUCACUACAGUACCACACAGAAUAGUUUCAUGGCUGUAAAAUAUCCACUGUGCUUCACUUAGCCACCUGUCUCCUUCUUCUCAGUCCUCUGGCAACCACUGAUCUAUUUCCCAUCUCUAUCAUUUGCUUUUUUAAAGAAAUCAUAUAAACGGAAUUAUCAUAUAUAUAUAUACGUAUAUGUAUAUAUGUAUAUACACACGCACACACACACACACACACACACACAUAUAUAUAUAUAUAAAACAUUUGGAAACUGGCUUCUUUCAUUUAGCAAUAUGCACUUAAGAUUCAUCCAUAUUGUUGUGUGAAUUAACAGUUCCUUUUAUCUCCGAAUAAUGUUCCAUAGUAUGACUGUUCCACUGUUUGUUUAUCCAUUCACCUAUUAAAGGACAUCUUAGUUGCAUCUGGCUUUAUUAUGAAUAAAGCUGCUAUAAACAUUGUGUGCAGGUUUUUGUGUAGACAUAAGAUUCCUUAUCAGUUGAGUAAAUACCUAGGGACAUAAUUUCUAGAUUGUAUGGUAAAUCAAUGUUUAACUUUAUAAGAAACUGCCAAACUUCCAAACCGUACUUCCAAAGUACCAUUUUUCAUUCCCACUAGCAAUGAGUGACAGUUUCUGUUGCUCUGCAUCUUCAUCAGCACUGGUAUUGCCAGUUGGUUGUAAUUUAGCUAUUUUUAUAGGUGUGUAGUAGUUGUUUUAAUUUGCAUUUCUAUAAUGACGAAUGAUCAUUUCUUCAAAUGCUUAUUUGCCAUUUGUAUACAUUCUUUGGUGAGAUGUCUGUUCAUAUCUUGUGCCCAUUUUUUAAUGUAGAUGUUUGCUUUCUUAUUGUUGAGUUUUAGACAUUGUUUGCAUAUUCUGGAUAUGAUCUUUGGGAUGGUUAAUUUUAUGUGUCAACUUCUCUGGGCUAUCACAAGGGAUGCCCAGAUAGCUGGUAAAACUAUUUCUUGGUGUGUCUGUGAGAUUGUUUCCGGAUGAGAUUAGCAUUUGAAUCAGUACACUAGGUAAAGAACUUUGCCCUCAGCAAUGUAGAUGGACAUUAUCUAAUCCAUUGAGGGUCUGAAUAGAUCAGAAAGGCAGAGAGAGUGCAAAUUCUCUCUCUUUCCUUGAGCUGAGCAUCCUUCUUUUCUUCUUCGACAUCAGAGUUCUCCUGGUUCUUAGGUCUUCAAACUCUGGGUCCUAUAAUAGCUGGUACCCUCCCCUCAGGCCCCUGGCCUUUGGAAUUAAAAGUUCUGAUUCUCUGAGAAGCCCUGACUAAUACAAUCUUUCAUUAGCUAUGUGAUUUGCAAAUAUUUACUCCCAUCCUGUGUCUUAUCUUUUCAUCCUUUUUUUUUUUUCUUUUUAGUGACAGGGUCUUGUUCUGUCACCCAGGUUGGAAUGCAGUGGCAUAAUCAUAGCUCACUGUAGCCUCAAACUCUUGGGCUCCAACAAUCCUCCUACCACAGUCUCCUGAAUAGGUGGGACUACAGGUAUUCUACAAUGCCCAGCUAAUUUUUUUUUAGAGGCGGGGUCUUGCUAUGUUGUCCAGGCUGGUCUUGAACACCUGAAUUCAAGCAAUCCUUCCACCUCAGCCUCCAAUGGAGGGCAAUGGUGGGAUCUCAGCUCACUGCAGCCUCCACCUCCCGGGUGCAAGUGAUUCUCCUGCCUCAUCCUCCUAAGUAGCUGGGUCUACAGGCACGUGCUACCACGCCCAGCUAAUUUUUGUGUUUUUUUAGUAGAGUUGGGGUUUCACCAUGUUAGCCAGGCUGGUCUCGAACUCCUGACCUCAAGUGAUUAUGCGCAUGACUCAGCCUCCCAAAGUGCUGGGAUUGCAGGCCUAAACCACCACACCUGGCCAACAGUGCCUUUUAUAGAGCUAAAGUUUAAUAAAGUUCAACUAUCAAUCUUUUAAAAUUAUGUUUUUGGUAUUGUAUCUAAAAACUAGUCAGCACAUCCAAAGUCAAGUAGAUUUCUCCUAUGCUUUCUUCUAGCAGUUUUAUUGUUUUGUGUUAUAUGUUAAGUCUAUGAUCUAUUUUGACUUCAUAUUAAUUUUCAUGUAAGCUGUAAGGCCUAUGUUAAGGAUUUUUUUCUUUGUCUAUAAACAUCUAACUGUUCCAGCAUCUUUGUCAAAAAUGAGUUGACUGUAUUUGUGUGGAUAGCUUUCUGGGCCUUCCAUUCUGUUCCAUUGAUCUAUGUGUCUGUAUUUUUGACCACACUGUCUUUGAUUACUGUAGUUUUAUAGUAAGUCUUAAAAUCGGGCAGUGUGAGUCCUCCAACUUGGUUGUUUUUCACAAUAUUGUUGGCUGUUCUGUACUUUGCCAUCCCAUGUAAAAAAAAAAAUUUUUUUUUUUUUUUUUUUUUUCUUUUGAGACAGAGUCUCGCUCUGUUGCCCAGGCUGGAGUGCAGUGGCACGAUCUCUGCUCACUUCAACCUCCACCUCCAGGCUUCAAAUGAUUCUCGUGAGUCAGCUUGCAAAGUAGCUGGAAUUACAAGCGUGUACCACCAUGCCUGGCUAAUUUUUGGAUAUUUUUCAUAGAGAGGGGGUUUUGCCACGUUGGCCAGGCUAUUUAGUUGUUUGAGUUUCUUAUACGUUUUGAAUAUUAACCCCUUAU
RNAcentral lists this long non-coding RNA (7291 nucleotides) under Homo sapiens (human). RNAcentral describes it as "non-protein coding lnc-PDYN-1:13". Lineage: Eukaryota; Metazoa; Chordata; Mammalia; Primates; Hominidae. The record is from RNAcentral.